RNAcentral lists this ribosomal RNA (1387 nucleotides) under metagenome. RNAcentral's name for it is "bacterial SSU rRNA". It matches the Rfam family "Bacterial small subunit ribosomal RNA". The record is from RNAcentral.
AGAGUUUGAUCCUGGCUCAGGACGAACGCUGGCGGCACGCUUAACACAUGCAAGUCGAACGAGAGAAGAGGAGCUUGCUUUUCUGAUCUAGUGGCGGACGGGUGAGUAACACGUGAGCAAUCUGCCUUUCAGAGGGGGAUACCGAUUGGAAACGAUCGUUAAUACCGCAUAACAUAAUUGAACCGCAUGAUUUGAUUAUCAAAGAUUUAUCGCUGAAAGAUGAGCUCGCGUCUGAUUAGCUAGUUGGUAAGGUAACGGCUUACCAAGGCGACGAUCAGUAGCCGGACUGAGAGGUUGAUCGGCCACAUUGGGACUGAGACACGGCCCAGACUCCUACGGGAGGCAGCAGUGGGGAAUAUUGCACAAUGGAGGAAACUCUGAUGCAGCGAUGCCGCGUGAGGGAAGAAGGUUUUAGGAUUGUAAACCUCUGUCUUCAGGGACGAAAAAAGACGGUACCUGAGGAGGAAGCUCCGGCUAACUACGUGCCAGCAGCCGCGGUAAUACGUAGGGAGCGAGCGUUGUCCGGAAUUACUGGGUGUAAAGGGAGCGUAGGCGGGAUCGCAAGUCAGAUGUGAAAACUAUGGGCUUAACCCAUAAACUGCAUUUGAAACUGUGGUUCUUGAGUGAAGUAGAGGUAAGCGGAAUUCCUAGUGUAGCGGUGAAAUGCGUAGAUAUUAGGAGGAACAUCAGUGGCGAAGGCGGCUUACUGGGCUUUAACUGACGCUGAGGCUCGAAAGCGUGGGGAGCAAACAGGAUUAGAUACCCUGGUAGUCCACGCCGUAAACGAUGAUUACUAGGUGUGGGGGGACUGACCCCUUCCGUGCCGCAGCAAACGCAAUAAGUAAUCCACCUGGGGAGUACGACCGCAAGGUUGAAACUCAAAGGAAUUGACGGGGGCCCGCACAAGCAGUGGAGUAUGUGGAUUAAUUCGAAGCAACGCGAAGAACCUUACCAGGUCUUGACAUCGUAUGCAUAGCUCAGAGAUGAGUGAAAUCUCUUCGGAGACAUAUAGACAGGUGGUGCAUGGUUGUCGUCAGCUCGUGUCGUGAGAUGUUGGGUUAAGUCCCGCAACGAGCGCAACCCUUACUGUUAGUUGCUACGCAAGAGCACUCUAGCAGGACUGCCGUUGACAAAACGGAGGAAGGUGGGGAUGACGUCAAAUCAUCAUGCCCCUUAUGACCUGGGCCUCACACGUACUACAAUGGCUGUCAACAGAGGGAAGCAAAGCCGCGAGGUGGAGCGAACCCCUAAAAGCAGUCUUAGUUCGGAUUGUAGGCUGCAACCCGCCUACAUGAAGUCGGAAUUGCUAGUAAUCGCAGAUCAGCAUGCUGCGGUGAAUACGUUCCCGGGCCUUGUACACACCGCCCGUCACGCCAUGGGAGUCGGU